GGGGCGUGUGAGUGGUGUUUGGAUUGUCUCUGCCGGCUGGCUCCGUGCUCGUCCACCGAACGGCCGGCAGGCAAUCCGCUUCGGUUGCUGUGGGUUUGGAUGGUGCCCGAGAGGCUGGUUCUUGUGUUGCCUACCCCUUCAAGGGAAGGGGGCCGCUUGCACAGUUAGCCUCCAUCCGGCGCCUUCUAACGGGCGCGGGAGGACAGCGAAGCACCCCCCGUGUUCCACCGAGCCUUCUUUGGUCGCGUGGCCCGCGGGGAAGUGCGGUGCUCUUGGACCCAGCGCACGCCGCGGACGGGGACUCGUGUCCCGGUCCCGAGAUGAGAUUCGAUACAUAAACGUGGGACGGCCGACCUUCGCCCCUCGGACCGCCCCGGCGGCGAGAGGGCGACGGGCGGCGUCGUGGAGGACCGCUACCUGGUUGAUCCUGCCAGUAGUCAUAUGCUUGUCU
RNAcentral lists this unclassified non-coding RNA (451 nucleotides) under Chloroleucon dumosum. Its description in RNAcentral is "partial external transcribed spacer". The record is from RNAcentral. Lineage: Eukaryota; Viridiplantae; Streptophyta; Magnoliopsida; Fabales; Fabaceae.